This 809-nucleotide long non-coding RNA is filed under the name Homo sapiens (human). RNAcentral's name for it is "HSALNT0053911". Lineage: Eukaryota; Metazoa; Chordata; Mammalia; Primates; Hominidae. The record is from RNAcentral.
GGCUUCUAAACAACCUACCCUCCUUCCCCAUUUUCUGUGGUCCAACUACCCUCGGCGAUCCCAGGCUUGGCGGGGCACCGCCUGGCCUCUCCCGUUCCUUUAGGCUGCCGCCGCUGCCUGCCGCCAUGGCAGAGUUGGGCCUAAAUGAGCACCAUCAAAAUGAAGUUAUUAAUUAUAUGCGUUUUGCUCGUUCAAAGAGAGGCUUGAGACUCAAAACUGUAGAUUCCUGCUUCCAAGACCUCAAGGAGAGCAGGCUGGAGUGCGGUGGCAUGAUGUCGGCUCACUGCAACCUCCACCUUCUGGUUACAAGCGAUUCUCCUGCCUCAGCCUCCUAAGUAGCUAAGAUUAAGGCACGUGCCACCACACCCAGGCUGGUGGAGGACACCUUCACCAUAGAUGAAGUCUCUGAAGUCCUCAAUGGAUUACAAGCUGUGGUUCAUAGUGAGGUGGAAUCUGAGCUCAUCAACACUGCCUAUACCAAUGUGUUACUUCUGCGACAGCUGUUUGCACAAGCUGAGAAGUGGUAUCUUAAGCUACAGACAGACAUCUCUGAACUUGAAAACCGAGAAUUAUUAGAACAAGUUGCAGAAUUUGAAAAAGCAGAGAUUACAUCUUCAAACAAAAAGCCCAUCUUAGAUGUCACAAAGCCAAAACUUGCUCCACUUAAUGAAGGUGGAACAGCAGAACUCCUAAACAAGGAAAUUUUAAGACUUCAAGAAGAGAAUGAGAAAUUGAAGUCAAGGUUGAAGACCAUUGAAAUACAGGCUACAAAUGCACUGGAUGAAAAGUCAAAACUAGAAAAAGCACUG